UUUAGUUUGUAAUUUUAUGCAAUUUUUAUUUAAAAAUGGAUUAGAGCUGGUGUAGAGAGGAAGGCAGUUGAGUGUCAGAGAGGCACUCAUCUCUCAACUAACUAUACCAUAAACUACUUGAGGACAAAGAUUAGAUGAUAUUUUUGAAAACUUGAAAACACGGGGAACAAAGCAAGCAAUGCUAAAGAAGCUAUAAAAAGUAUGACCAAGAGCAAUGGAGGGAUGCAAGGCACCUCUGAAUCAGCAGGGAGUCCUUUCAAACCUCACCUGCCCAACUUUGCUUCUAGAAAUCUGUCCAGAGAAGUGAACCUCCAUGAGCAAUCCUUAGACUCCAGGCAUAAAAACCACCUAUGGUCCAAUAAAUGCAGCCCCCCACCCCCUACCAUAAGGAUUCCACAGGGAGGCCCUUGGCACUGCCUUUGCUACUAACCUGAUUAGGUGAUUCUGAUUCCAAAAGCUGAAGGACAAACUUCUGAGACAUACUACUCUAGGGAUAAGUACUGCAACUACAUGUUCUAGGUCCUAAAACUGAGCAGGAAGAGAAGAAGACUAUAGCCAGGUAAAUUCCCACAUCCUGGAAAUUAUGGCCUGGAAUACUGAGCUUUGGGCAUCUCCAUCUCUUUGUAACUACAAUGUCCCCAAUGCUCACCUUGAGACUUUUACAUUUUAAUAGGCAUUCAUCUAAUACAUACUACAUUGUAGUAAGUCUUCUAUACCAAUGUUUUUAAACCCAUAAAAAUGUACAAGAUCAGAUUGUUUUACUGUCCCUCUAGUUCUAAGAGAACUAAGGCAUAGAUAGAACUUGUGCGAGGUCAUAGGGUGACUAUGAGAACCAAAUUCAGGCAAUGUGGCUCCAGGCUCUGUACUCUUAACUACUACAAAACCACCACCCAUAACCUCUCAUUUUACAUUCACUUCAUUCUUCUUGCAGCUACUAAUGUCAAUAAAAUCAAAUGAAUACCUGUUACAUGUCGGAUACCAUGACACAUGCUAAGAAUGUAAUCUAGAACAAGAUUUCCUUCAUGAUUUCAGGAAGCCUACAUUAUAAUGAAGAAUCGAGAAAUGAAAACAAACCUACAACCAACCAUUGAUAAGUAUUACAAUACAGACAAGAACAGAAUAUCAUAGAAGUAUACAGGAAGGAAACCCAUUCUCAGACUUGGGGUUGAAAAGGCUCUGCAGAGGAAAUGUCAUCAAAGCUGAGGUCAGAAGGAGCUCCUGCAAGCAAGUUAGUUGAGGGACUCAAAGCACAACACCACGGGUGGUUAGAGAAAGGUGGCUACAGAGAAUAUUUCAAUAAAAGGAAGAGGAUAUGUACAACAUUAUGAGUCAAAGGGUUUGGCAUAUUAUUAGUUCUUUAUAAUUGUAAGGAGUGUAAAAGAAAGUGUAUGGUAACAGAUGAAUAAAGAAGGAAAAUUUUCAAAGAUCUUCAUUUUUGUUUGUUUCUUUCAGCUUCUAACCCUAAAGAACCCACUCAAACUCUCUAUUAUUCUCACUUCUCAGUAGUUGAGUUUGUUUUCUUGACUCAUGAAAUAGGUUAAAUAAAAUCCUAGCCACUCAGCUGAGC
This 1567-nucleotide long non-coding RNA is filed under the name Marmota monax (woodchuck). The record is from RNAcentral. Lineage: Eukaryota; Metazoa; Chordata; Mammalia; Rodentia; Sciuridae.